AAAUUUAAAUGUAGUUUUUAUAAAAAUUAAUAAAAUUUUCUUUAUAUAAUUAUAUAUAAAUUAUUUAUUUAUAGAAGAAAUAUUUAUUUAUUUAUUAAAAUUAAAAUAGAUGUUUUAUAAAAAAUUUGGCUAAACUUGUGCCAGCCGCCGCGGUUAUACAAGUAAGUUUAUUUUUAUAAAUUAUAUUAAUAAAAAUAAAUUUGUAGAAUAAGUAAAAAUUUAAUAAGGUGAAAUUUAUAAAUUUUAUGAAUAUUAAAAUUGAUUUUGAAAAAAUUUUAAUUUAAACUAGGAUUAGAUACCCUAUUAUUUAAAGCUUAAUAUUGUUAGUAAGUAAAAUUUAUGAAAUCAUAAAAUUUUGGCGGUAUUUUAAGCUUUUUAGAGGAAUUUGCUCUGUAAUGGAUAAAACACCUAAAUCUUACUUAAUUUAGUUAAAUCAAUUUGUAUACC
Molecule: ribosomal RNA, 447 nt
Filed under: Ixodes acutitarsus
Lineage: Eukaryota; Metazoa; Arthropoda; Arachnida; Ixodida; Ixodidae
Description: partial small rRNA subunit
Source: RNAcentral